Long non-coding RNA from Coregonus clupeaformis (lake whitefish), 869 nucleotides. RefSeq lists it as uncharacterized. The transcript is spliced from 2 exons. Lineage: Eukaryota; Metazoa; Chordata; Actinopteri; Salmoniformes; Salmonidae. The record is from RefSeq and is a predicted model, not a curated record.
CGAGUCUCAUAACAAAGGUUCUGAAUACUUCUGUGUAUAAGAUCAUCUCCACCACUGAGGAUUUGAGACACAAUGGAGAUAAACAUCUGUAAGAAUUUCCCACACUACGUGAUUUUUCCUAUACUCAAUAGAAGACUACACUGCACCAUGUGGUUGCUGCCUUAAAGGUUAAAUGUGUUGCAUAUUUUGUUAUGAUGAGUCGGUUAGCUUGUAAUCUGGUUAGAGAGAGGUACUGAUAUUGAUAUUGUGAAGGGUGUCGUCUCAAUCCAGAUUAGGGCCAAUUUGAUACCCCCUAUGCAUUGAGUGUGGAAAAUAAUGUGAAUACAGUCAUAUAAACUAUAUAAAUAAAGUUAGUUAAAUAUUAUUAAUUCAUUUGUUAGAGAUGCUUUGCUUCUGAGGUAAAUCUUCAGAAAUAAAGUUGCAAAUCACUAUUUUCAUCAGUCUGUCUAUACCAGAUGGUGUGUUGUGUUUUUAGCAAUAUGUUGUUGUGACAACAGUCUGUGUGUCUUCCUGUGAUAGUCAUCAUGUGGUUGGAAUCAUGUCUGUGUUUCCGUCAGUGAUUCUUUAGGUUGGAGUCAGACUCAUUACUUAAAUGUUCACCAGAAUCUGUUCAAUCACCUGCUAUAAGCAUAAUCCUAUGGAGUCCAACACUAUGGGUAUUAGAGAAUUAAAUUAAUACAAAUUCAAAAUGAUUAAAUUCAGAUUCAAUUUGUGGUGGCACUAAUAUCAUUCCAUACAGCACCCCGACAAAACAACAAUAUAGGCUAGUUUACCUAGUGUAAAUGUUUUGGUGUACAGGCAUAUGUAGGCCUAUGUGGGCUGGCUCAUGUUUGGUCGUUCCAAAUGAAUAAAACAUACCCUCAACUUUC